This 981-nucleotide ribosomal RNA is filed under the name Triticum aestivum (bread wheat). Its description in RNAcentral is "partial small subunit ribosomal RNA". Lineage: Eukaryota; Viridiplantae; Streptophyta; Magnoliopsida; Poales; Poaceae. The record is from RNAcentral.
AUGAUUCACUCAGAUGUUUGGGGACCUUGUGAGGUUCGUUCAAUUUUUGGGCAUCGAUGGUUUGUAACUUUUAUCGAUUGCUUUAGUCGCUACACUUGGCUUUAUCUCCUGAAGCAUAAGAGUGAUGUGUGCUCGGUUUUUAAGGAUUUAUGUGCUCUUAUUAAAAAUCAACAUGGGGCAACUAUUAAAAUCUUACGGUCAGACAAUGGUACGGAAUAUAUUAACCAGGAGUUUGGACAAUUCCUUGCCUCAAACGGCAUUGAACAUCAAAGUACAUGUGUUAACACUCCAGAACAAAAUGGUGUUGUAGAGCGUAAAAAUAGACAUUUGCUUGAGGUUGCACGCUCACUUAUGUUUACCAUGAACGUGCCUAAAUGUCUUUGGGGGGAGGCAAUAAAAACUGCAACAUACUUGAUAAACCGUAUGCCUCUUCGGGUUCUUGGCCAUAAGACCCCUGCUGAGUGUCUUCUUAAAUCUAAUGAUUUUGUAGUUCCUCCAAAGGUCUUUGGGUGUGUUUGCUUUGUGCAUGAUUAUAGGAACUCUGUUGGAAAAUUAGAUCCACGUGCUCUCAAAUGUGUUUUCAUGGGUUAUUCUCCUUCUCAAAAGGGUUACCGGUGUUGGUGUCCUUCGGAGCGCCGGUUUUUUGUGAGCAUGGAUGUGACAUUCCGUGAACAUGAAUCAUAUUAUGGCUCAACCAAUGACACUGGCAUUGCCUUAUCCCCAUCUAAAGUGCAGCGGGAAGGGGAGAGUGGUACUAAAGGAUCUCCAUUAAUCCCUAUUCAUGUUUCCACUUCAAAUGGUUUACCCACUUUAGAUGAUGUUCGAAAUCAAGGGAGGAGACAAAUAGCGAUGGGUGUAAUAAUGGUUCUGAUCAUGGAGACAUACAAGAUGCAUCAGGAGACUCUUCACUUCCUUCACAAGAUGGUGAGCUUGACAUGCAUGAGGACCCAGGUACUAAAAAUUGUUGGAAAUAUGCCCUAG